Non-coding RNA from Candidatus Magasanikbacteria bacterium CG1_02_41_34, 174 nucleotides. Lineage: Bacteria; Candidatus Magasanikiibacteriota. The record is from Rfam.
GUGUAUUCUCUCUCCAUACCGCAGACAGUAGGUGUUCGUAGUAAUAUGGACUUAAUUUCCUACCGAGGUGAGUCUCAUUUGGCUUUGUUGGCGAGGUUUUAUACUUGACGACAGCCAAAAGGUCGAAGAUUCACAAGUUGUUCUGUGGGAAACCACAGUUUUUUUGUUGAAAUU